AGCAGUGUGGUAUAGUGGUGAGAACCUGGGCUUGUAACCAUAAGGUUGCUGGUUCGAUUCCCCACUGGGCUA
This is a non-coding RNA of Megalops atlanticus (tarpon), 72 nucleotides long. The record is from the annotation of a GenBank genome assembly. NCBI's taxonomy places the organism in Eukaryota, Metazoa, Chordata, Actinopteri, Elopiformes, Megalopidae.